UACGGGGGAGCAAGCGUUGUUCGGAUUUACUGGGCGUAAAGGGCGCGUAGGCGGCCACCGCAAGUCGACUGUGAAAUCUCCGGGCUUAACCCGGAAAGGUCAGCCGAUACUGCGGGGCUAGAGUGCAGAAGGGGCAACUGGAAUUCUCGGUGUAGCGGUGAAAUGCGUAGAUAUCGAGAGGAACACCUGCGGCGAAGGCGGUGCUGGGCUGACACUGACGCUGAUGCGCGAAAGCUAGGGAGCGAACGGG
RNAcentral lists this ribosomal RNA (250 nucleotides) under uncultured bacterium. RNAcentral's name for it is "partial 16S ribosomal RNA". It matches the Rfam family "Bacterial small subunit ribosomal RNA", at positions 524 to 776 of the family's 1533-position model. The record is from RNAcentral.